Long non-coding RNA from Bombyx mori (domestic silkworm), 728 nucleotides. RefSeq lists it as uncharacterized. Lineage: Eukaryota; Metazoa; Arthropoda; Insecta; Lepidoptera; Bombycidae. The transcript is spliced from 2 exons. The record is from RefSeq and is a predicted model, not a curated record.
CUAUUGUGUUCAUGCUUUUUGUCUUUUCUUUUUACAGAGCAGUAUAUUCUGUGCAACAAUCCUUUCGGUUUGGAAAAUAAGAUUUAAAAACGUUGGUAUUUUUAAAAAGAAAAAUUGAAAUCGAUUUAUGUAACCUAUUCAUUUUAAAUUUUUGCAGUGUUAUCUAUCUACAUGUCGAUGUCCACGCCACAUAAGGUUGAAGUUUCAUAACUCGAAACUAAAAACCUUCAAACAAUCUAUGGCCUAAUAGGUACAGGUAUGUGUAGAGCAGCCGGUGUACACGAAUUCCUAUCAAACAAUGCGACAAUGACCUGCUAGUUUGAAGUCAUUUGAAUCAGCUGUGCGGGACUUUUCAAUUCAACCAUGUACCGAUAUGGUAUGAAUUAAAGGUUAAUGAAAUAAAUUCUGGGAUGUUCGACGUUUUCGCCAAUGGUAUAAGAUAUACAUAUUGACAGUCAGAAUAUAUAAAAUAAAGCCCACGGACGUCCAAUGCUGGCCAUAGGAUUCCCCCGAGGCUUAUCGUGCCACAUGCUUUAGCCAUGUGGGAGGCCUACCUACGCUUCGCUUUCUUUACUAAAUACCUUAUUAAAACGCCGUGAUAUCCAUGGACUUCACUAGCCCCUUGACACCAGGUAGGCCGUGAAUUCGUUCGCCCUAGACGAAUGCAAUACAAAAAAUGAAGAAAGUAAUAAAUAAAAAUUAAAAAGUCGAAAUAUUUCAAUAUUCAA